RNAcentral lists this long non-coding RNA (478 nucleotides) under Mytilus galloprovincialis (Mediterranean mussel). Lineage: Eukaryota; Metazoa; Mollusca; Bivalvia; Mytilida; Mytilidae. The record is from RNAcentral.
GUUUGUAGAUCUUUCUUUACUGAACAUUCUUGUUGCUACAAAUAUUUCUCUCUAUAAUGAACUCAGCCCAGUAAUUACAGUGGAAAAUAUUUCCUAAAAACAUGACGAAAAAGUUGUUAACAAUUGACUAUAAAGGGCAGUAACUCCUUAAGGGGUCAAUUGAAAAUUUUGGUCAUGUUGACUUAUUUGUAGAUCUUAUUUUGCUGAACAUUAUUGCUGUUUACAGUUUAUCUCUAUCUAUAAUAAUAUUCAAGAUAAUAACCAAAAUCUGCAAAAUUUCCUUCAAAUUACUAAUUCAGGGGCAGCAAGCCAACAACAGGUUGUCUGAUUUGUCUGAAAAUUUCAGGGCAGAUAGAUCUUGACUUGAUAAACAAUUUUACCCAGUCAGAUUUGCUCUUAAUGCUUUGGUGUCAGAGAUAUAAGCCAAAAUCUACAUUUCCCCUUUAUGUUCUAUAUUUAGCCAUGGCAGCCAUCUUGG